ACACUCCUGCGGGAGGCAACAGUGGGGAAUAUUGGACAAUGGGCGCAAGCCUGAUCCAGCCAUGCCGCGUGAGUGAUGAAGGCCCUAGGGUUGUAAAGCUCUUUCACCGGUGAAGAUAAUGACGGUAACCGGAGAAGAAGCCCCGGCUAACUUCGUGCCAGCAGCCGCGGUAAUACGAAGGGGGCUAGCGUUGUUCGGAUUUACUGGGCGUAAAGCGCACGUAGGCGGACUAUUAAGUCAGGGGUGAAAUCCCGGGGCUCAACCCCGGAACUGCCUUUGAUACUGGUAGUCUUGAGUUCGAGAGAGGUGAGUGGAAUUCCGAGUGUAGAGGUGAAAUUCGUAGAUAUUCGGAGGAACACCAGUGGCGAAGGCGGCUCACUGGCUCGAUACUGACGCUGAGGUGCGAAAGCGUGGGGAGCAAACAGGAUUAGAUACCCGAGUAGUCCC
Molecule: ribosomal RNA, 447 nt
Filed under: uncultured organism
Description: partial 16S ribosomal RNA
Rfam family: Bacterial small subunit ribosomal RNA
Source: RNAcentral